Molecule: ribosomal RNA, 497 nt
Filed under: uncultured bacterium
Lineage: Bacteria
Description: partial 16S ribosomal RNA
Rfam family: Bacterial small subunit ribosomal RNA
Source: RNAcentral
GAUGAACGCUGGCGGCGUGCCUAAUACAUGCAAGUCGAGCGAACGGACGAGAAGCUUGCUUCUCUGAUGUUAGCGGCGGACGGGUGAGUAACACGUGGAUAACCUACCUAUAAGACUGGGAUAACUUCGGGAAACCGGAGCUAAUACCGGCUAAUAUUUUGACCCGCAUGGUUCAACAGUGAAAGACGGUCUUGCUGUCACUUAUAGAUGGAUCCGCGCUGCAUUAGCUAGUUGGUAAGGUAACGGCUUACCAAGGCAACGAUGCAUAGCCGACCUGAGAGGGUGAUCGGCCACACUGGAACUGAGACGCGGUCCAGACUCCUACGGGAGGCAGCAGUAGGGAAUCUUCCGCAAAGGGCGAAAGCCUGACGGAGCAACGCCGCGUGAGUGAUGAAGGUCUUCGGAUCGUAAAACUCUGUUAUUAGGGAAGAACAUAUGUGUAAGUAACUGUGCACAUCUUGACGGUACCUAAUCAGAAAGCCACGGCUAACUACGUG